RNAcentral lists this ribosomal RNA (502 nucleotides) under uncultured bacterium. RNAcentral describes it as "bacterial SSU rRNA". It matches the Rfam family "Bacterial small subunit ribosomal RNA", at positions 8 to 507 of the family's 1533-position model. The record is from RNAcentral.
AGAGUUUGAUCAUGGCUCAGAUUGAACGCUGGCGGAAUGCUUUACACAUGCAAGUCGAACGGCAGCACGGGGCAACCUGGUGGCGAGUGGCAAACGGGUGAGUAAUACAUCGGAACGUGCCCAAUCGUGGGGGAUAACGUAGCGAAAGUUACGCUAAUACCGCAUACGAUCUACGGAUGAAAGCGGGGGAUCGCAAGACCUCGCGCGAGUGGAGCGGCCGAUGUCAGAUUAGGUAGUUGGUGGGGUAAAGGCUCACCAAGCCAACGAUCUGUAGCUGGUCUGAGAGGACGACCAGCCACACUGGAACUGAGACACGGUCCAGACUCCUACGGGAGGCAGCAGUGGGGAAUUUUGGACAAUGGGCGCAAGCCUGAUCCAGCCAUUACGCGUGCAGGAUGAAGGCCUUCGGGUUGUAAACUGCUUUUGUACGGAACGAAACGGCGAGCUCUAAUACAGUUUGCUAAUGACGGUACCGUAAGAAUAAGCACCGGCUAACUACGUG